GAUGAACGCUAGCGGCAGGCCUAACACAUGCAAGUCGAGGGGUAACAUUAGGAAAGCUUGCUUUUCUGAUGACGACCGGCGCACGGGUGCGUAACGCGUAUACAACCUACCUUUUAGCGGGGAAUAGCCCAGGGAAACUUGGAUUAAUGCCCAUAGUAUAUGGACUUCUCCUGAAGUUUAUAUUAAACAUUUAUGGCUAUUAGAUGGGUAUGCGUCCUAUUAGUUAGUUGGUAAGGUAACGGCUUACCAAGGCAGCGAUAGGUAGGGGUCCUGAGAGGGAGAUCCCCACACUGGUACUGAGACACGGACCAGACUCCUACGGGAGGCAGCAGUGAGGAAUAUUGGACAAUGGGCGAGAGCCUGAUCCAGCCAUGCCGCGUGCAGGAAGACUGCCCUAUGGGUUGUAAACUGCUUUUACAGAGGAAGAACCACCCCCACGUGUGGGGGGUUUGACGGUACUCUGCGAAUAAGGAUCGGCUAACUCCGUG
RNAcentral lists this ribosomal RNA (488 nucleotides) under uncultured bacterium. RNAcentral's name for it is "bacterial SSU rRNA". It matches the Rfam family "Bacterial small subunit ribosomal RNA", at positions 28 to 507 of the family's 1533-position model. The record is from RNAcentral.